GCCGGGUGCAGUGGUGCAUGCCUGUACUCGAGAGGCUGAGGCUGGAGGAUCUCUUGAGCCCAGGAGCUCUGGGUUGUAGUGUGCUAUGCCCAUCGGGUGUCUGCACUAAGUUCGGCAUCAAUAUGGUGACCUCCCAGGAGCUGGGGACCACCAGGUUGCCUAAGGAGGGGUGAACUGGCCCAGGUCGGAAACGGAGCAGGUCAAAACUCCUGUGCUGAUCAGUAGUGGGAUCGCGCCUGUGAAUAGCCCCCACUGCACUCCAACCUGGGCAACAUAGCAAGACCCCGUUUCU
Molecule: signal recognition particle RNA, 292 nt
Filed under: Saimiri boliviensis boliviensis (Bolivian squirrel monkey)
Lineage: Eukaryota; Metazoa; Chordata; Mammalia; Primates; Cebidae
Description: Metazoan signal recognition particle RNA (ENSSBOG00000003066.1)
Rfam family: Metazoan signal recognition particle RNA
About the family: The signal recognition particle (SRP) is a universally conserved ribonucleoprotein. It is involved in the co-translational targeting of proteins to membranes.
Source: RNAcentral